CUGGCUCAGGAUGAACGCUGGCGGCGUGCUUAACACAUGCAAGUCGAACGGAGCUUUAUGAACAAGACUUCGGUCAAGUGAAUUCUAAGCUUAGUGGCGGACGGGUGAGUAACGCGUGAGCAACCUGCCUUUCAGAGGGGGAUAACGUUUGGAAACAGACGCUAAUACCGCAUGACAUAGUUUUCUCGCAUGAGAGGACUAUCAAAGGAGCAAUCCGCUGAAAGAUGGGCUCGCGUCCGAUUAGGUAGUUGGUGAGGUAAAGGCCCACCAAGCCGACGAUCGGUAGCCGGACUGAGAGGUUGAACGGCCACAUUGGGACUGAGACACGGCCCAGACUCCUACGGGAGGCAGCAGUGGGGAAUAUUGCACAAUGGGCGAAAGCCUGAUGCCAGCAACGCCGCGUGAGGGAAGACGGUUUUCGGAUUGUAAACCUCUGUCUUUGGUGAAGAAGAAGUGACAUUAGCCGAGGAGGAAGCCACGGCUAACUACGUGCCAGCCGCUGC
Molecule: ribosomal RNA, 503 nt
Filed under: uncultured bacterium
Lineage: Bacteria
Description: bacterial SSU rRNA
Rfam family: Bacterial small subunit ribosomal RNA
Source: RNAcentral